GACGAACGCUGGCGGCGCGCUUAACACAUGCAAGUCGAGCGAUGAAAUCUUGACAGCUCCCUUCGGGGUGAAGAUAAGAUGGAUUAGCGGCGGACGGGUGAGUAACACGUGAGUAACCUGCCUUAGACAUUGGGAUAGCCUCGGGAAACCGGGAUUAAUACCAAAUGAAAUCAUAGGUGCCCAUGCACUAAUGAUCAAAACUCCGGUGGUCUAAGAUGGACUCGCGUCCCAUUAGCUAGUUGGUGAGGUAAUGGCCCACCAAGGCGACGAUGGGUAGCCGGCCUGAGAGGGUGAACGGCCACAUUGGAACUGAGAAACGGUCCAAACUCCUACGGGAGGCAGCAGUGGGGAAUAUUGCACAAUGGAGGGAACUCUGAUGCAGCGACGCCGCGUGAACGAUGAAGGCUUUCGAGUCGUAAAGUUCUUUUAUAUGGGAAGAUAAUGACGGUACCAUAAGAAAAAGCCCCGGCUAACUACGUG
This 480-nucleotide ribosomal RNA is filed under the name uncultured bacterium. Its description in RNAcentral is "partial 16S ribosomal RNA". It matches the Rfam family "Bacterial small subunit ribosomal RNA", at positions 28 to 507 of the family's 1533-position model. The record is from RNAcentral.